AUCCAUCUGGUGAAUCUCAAAUAGGACGGAACACGCGUCCUGGAU
Non-coding RNA from Schistosoma haematobium, 45 nucleotides. Lineage: Eukaryota; Metazoa; Platyhelminthes; Trematoda; Strigeidida; Schistosomatidae. The record is from Rfam.